Molecule: long non-coding RNA, 466 nt
Organism: Panthera uncia (snow leopard)
Lineage: Eukaryota; Metazoa; Chordata; Mammalia; Carnivora; Felidae
Exons: 2
Source: RefSeq, a predicted model, not a curated record
CGUGACGUCUCUCGCGUGACCUCACCGAGGUGGAGCGAGGGGGCGGGGAGUGGCAAAGAGGAAAGGGACCGCUCGGCGGCUGAGGGUGACUCCUGGCCUGACCUUCUCCUCUCUCCGCCCCCACUUUCAAGGGGAGGAGUUAAAGUCCGGGGUUUGGGGAGAAGCUCCGGGAUCUUGGUCCACCGCAACUCCACCAUUUUGCAGCUUUCCGACUUGGCACCCCUAGAGUCUGGCUGAAAGCUUCCCGUGCUAAUAAAAUGGGCUCAAAGAGAAAAUACAUCUAAGAGAAGACAUUUCAAGAAUGAGUAAUUGCUCCUUUUCAGUAAAGAGUUACUCGAAACCACCCUGCCAAACCUGUUCUGCCUUGUUGAUUGUGCUUGAACAGGCUUCUUCCUGCUACCAUGACCUGUUGAUGCAACUGCCCUAGAUUAAUAAAGAGUUUCAGAAAAAGAACUUGUCCCCCAGA